CCCUGGCCUAGAAGCAAACAUCCAUACAGAAUUUUCUCGUAAUUGACUCUGUGAAAAGCCAAGAAACUCGAAUUUCUUCUCUCCAAUGACAAUACCAUUUCUCAGUAUUGACAGUAUCCUUUCAUAAAUUUUUGUUCGCCUUUCCUCAUUGACAGACGAUGUUCUAGGAGAUAAAUUUGUUGAAUAAAGUCUAUCUAGAUCCUCAUCAACAAAUGAAAUGCGAAGAAAAUUCUUGAUAUCAUCGGGAUAAUUGCGCAAAACGCGAUUGGAGAGGUUCACUUCAGGACCACAGAAAUAUACUUUAGCAGGGGUU
Molecule: unclassified non-coding RNA, 313 nt
Filed under: Hevea brasiliensis (rubber tree)
Lineage: Eukaryota; Viridiplantae; Streptophyta; Magnoliopsida; Malpighiales; Euphorbiaceae
Source: RNAcentral